UACGUAGGGUGCAAGCGUUGUCCGGAAUUAUUGGGCGUAAAGAGCUCGUAGGCGGUUUGUCGCGUCUGCUGUGAAAACCCGAGGCUCAACCUCGGGCCUGCAGUGGGUACGGGCAAACUAGAGUGCGGUAGGGGAGAAUGGAAUUCCUGGUGUAGCGGUGAAAUGCGCAGAUAUCAGGAGGAACACCGGUGGCGAAGGCGGGUCUCUGGGCCGAUACUGACGCUGAGGAGCGAAAGCGUGGGGAGCAAACAGG
This 253-nucleotide ribosomal RNA is filed under the name uncultured bacterium. RNAcentral's name for it is "partial 16S ribosomal RNA". It matches the Rfam family "Bacterial small subunit ribosomal RNA", at positions 524 to 776 of the family's 1533-position model. The record is from RNAcentral.